Molecule: ribosomal RNA, 484 nt
Filed under: uncultured bacterium
Lineage: Bacteria
Description: partial 16S ribosomal RNA
Rfam family: Bacterial small subunit ribosomal RNA
Source: RNAcentral
AUUGAACGCUGGCGGCAUGCUUUACACAUGCAAGUCGAACGGCAGCGCGGGCUUCGGCCUGGCGGCGAGUGGCGAACGGGUGAGUAAUACAUCGGAACGUGCCCAGUAGUGGGGGAUAGCUCGGCGAAAGCCGGAUUAAUACCGCAUUCGACCCGAGGGUGAAAGCGGGGGAUCUUCGGACCUCGCGCUAUUGGAGCGGCCGAUGGCAGAUUAGCUAGUUGGUGGGGUAAAGGCCUACCAAGGCGACGAUCUGUAGCUGGUCUGAGAGGACGACCAGCCACACUGGGACUGAGACACGGCCCAGACUCCUACGGGAGGCAGCAGUGGGGAAUUUUGGACAAUGGGCGAAAGCCUGAUCCAGCAAUGCCGCGUGUGUGAUGAAGGCCUUCGGGUUGUAAAGCACUUUUGGCGGGAACGAAAAGGACUGUGCCAACACCACGGUUCGAUGACGGUACCCGCAGAAUAAGCACCGGCUAACUACGUG